UCCGGUGGCAAUGGCGAGGGGGAAACACCCGUUCCCAUUCCGAACACGGAAGUUAAGCCCCUCUGCGCUGAUGGUACUGCCCUGGCAACGGGGUGGGAGAGUAGGACGUCACCGGGA
Molecule: ribosomal RNA, 117 nt
Filed under: Candidatus Zixiibacteriota bacterium
Lineage: Bacteria; Pseudomonadati; Candidatus Zixiibacteriota
Source: RNAcentral